RNAcentral lists this unclassified non-coding RNA (6751 nucleotides) under Melitaea cinxia (Glanville fritillary). RNAcentral describes it as "misc RNA ENSMCXG00005014902.1". The record is from RNAcentral. Lineage: Eukaryota; Metazoa; Arthropoda; Insecta; Lepidoptera; Nymphalidae.
CGCCGCGCCAGGGUCGGCGACCGCGGCCGGGGGGAGGGGCUCGGCUACGAGCUGGAGGAAAGCGCGCCGAGGAGCGAGCGAAGACCCCCCGGGAGACACGCGCAGGCCGAGUCGCCUCAGACGCCACCGACGCAAACACCAACUGAAAGCGGAGCGGGGGGCGUGUCCAGACUGCGACUGAUGUUCGGAGCGAGGCGAGACCUCGCGAGACAGGAGAGCAACCGUUCCGAACCGUCAGCGCAAUACCCGCACUUGCAGUGCCCGCCCACCUUCCAACCGGAGACGUACUCGCUGUCCCGCCCCCCGCGCCCGCGGGACUGACGCCCCGCCUCUUCUGCACCAGACCCGCCCCACGCCGAACAAGGCCCGCCCCCCGCCGUGUAAGCCCGCCUCCGCCGCACAAGCCUCCUACGUGCUCAUGGCGCCUUGGUACUCGCGCUCGCAACACCGGGGCAAAAGCUGGACGUGAGUCUGCCUUUUUUCGGUAACUGUAAAUAAACCCACUGCUGGACAAUUAUCUCUCACUUAUAAAGGAAAGGUUUUCGAAUUUCUAACAUAAACUUAUUGGAGCUUCUAAUACAAAUAAAAAGGUAUACGUAAUGAAUACUAUAAGGUCACGCGCUCUUUUAUAUUUUAGAAAGGCGGUCAGAAAUAUUUCAACGCCAUGCUCAAGGCUAAAAUUACUAAAAAUUGAUUAAAAAUAGUCUAAGUAAGGCAAGGCCAAAUACCUUGUGAAGUUUCAAUAUAAGAAUGUUAAUCUUAUACCAAAAGAAAUGACGAGAAUUUUGAUGUUUCAAAGUUAUCUUGACGAUUCUUCUAAGCGAAAAGAGUAACAAUAAAUUAGCAGAUUUUUUAAAAGUUAACUUCGGCAUGAACAUGUAAAAAAGUAUAAAAUGAUUUGAUAUACUCAUAUCGCUGCACAUUUUAGUACACGACCAAUAAGUUGAACGAAUAAUAAAAUGACUCAAUACAGCGUUUCCGUCAUCAAAAUGAUUUAAAGACACCUCCUCAGCUGUUAUAGUAUCCUGGUACAAUCUAGUUGAAAGGAUAUAAGUUCAAUGGCAAUAAUUAUUUAAUUUGUCAUCAAUCAUCGUUCAAUCUCUAUGAGCUCUUGUAUCGUUAUGAUUCCCUGGUAUAAACAUACGCUAAGCUAUGCGUUAUAUUUCAAAUUAUAUAAUGGUUAUAUAACAUAUAUGUGGAUAAUGUUUUAAAUACUAUAAAAAUAUCUAUUAAUAUAUUAAUUAGCUGAAAAAAUAAAACCACUUUCUAUUCAAUAACGGAAAGUUAAGAUUUCUAUCAAAUUAGAAAUAAAAGUAAAUGAGUUUGAAUGUUAUCGUUACCUCUUCAUAAUCCUAAAUAUAAUAAAGUUAUGACCUCACCUGGGGUCCUAAUAAUUGUUAUAAAAAAAACUGUAAAUCAAAAUGUCUUCCCCUUGUAUAUUUGUAAAAUAUUUUUAUUUUUUUAACGUCGAGUUCAUUGCUUUAUUUUUAUAUUUCAAAAUAAUAACAGUUCCAUCUUUUAAUCACCCUCCAUUUUUAAAUCAAAAACCUUCUAGAACAAAUUCGUUUCAACAAAAUCCUCAGAGAAAAGUUUUGUUAAAUUUUCAUCCCUUGUAUAAAUACUAAAAGUCUGACUUAAAGGUUGUAAAUAUACAUUUUAUUUGACGUUCGUAUAAUCAACCUUUUACUCAAUGUUGAACGUAGUGUAAAUAAAUAAAAGAAAUUUGGAAAAGUCUUUAAAUAUAAAUAAACAUACGUGCCAAGUUAAUUUUGAAUAUAUUUAAGGAGACCCGUGCUAUGUAUAUCGAAGUAUUUAGGGGUUGUUAAUGUAGAUUUGUAUCAAAGCUAUAACAGAGUACUAGAAAUCCAAUGAACUUACGUAGUAAAUAAUAAAAUAUACUUGUAGUUGAAAUGAAACGUACCGUUGUGUCAAAUACCGUCGUGUGAAAAUAUUUUAUGAAUUUAAACUAUGAACUAAACUAUUAAAGAAAAGGUAAGGAUUUGUAUGACAACGUACAUUUGUUGCCUAUAUACUGCAUGCAUUAGAUAAAUAUAAAAUUGAAUAUGAACGUGGAGCUUAUUACAUUGUUUUUAGUUAAUUAUAAUCGCAUGCAAUAAGCUAGUAAUCAUUUGGAUUCAUAAUGUGUUGCUAGGAAAGUACAAUGUUAAGAAACAGACGCUUAGGUGGCAACAGGCUUCUGUAAUUCGUAACUACAUUAUUUAUCGAAACGAAUUCACACUAUUUUAUUUAUGAAAUUAUUUCUACAGGCUGUACUUUGUUAUACAUUUAUUUAUAAACGUAUACAUUUUGAAUCUUUAUUAUACAGAUCAUAAAAAAUUGACGUUUUAAAUAUUUUUAUGGUGAUGUGUGUCAAUAAAAAUAAACUCCAGUAUAUACAUAUUGCAUAUUGUUAGAUUCAUUUCGGAGAUGGUUCGUGUAUAUUUAGUUCUGAGUUUGUGGCAGUUUGUGUCGAAUGGAAGAAAUUGAUUUUUCUCCUACAACAUUAUUUGUAUUUUAAUAUCGUUUGUAACACAAGUACGACUGGAGAAUUGGUGCAAUCGAAAGCAUACGUCCCGUAUUGUACAAGGAUAUAGCGUAGGAUUUUAUUUACCUUAAAAAUUAUAUCGCUCUAGAAAAUUUAAACCAAAUAUAAGUUAUAUAAGUUACAAUCACGAUGUAGGAUACGUUUUUCGACAUUUUAUUAUUAAAAAUAUUCAAAUUUUGCUUCUUAUUGAACGUUUCCGCUUAAAAAAAAUUAAAAUUUAAAAAAAAAUACCACUUACUGAGUUUAUUCGUAAUAGACAAAAAACUCUAUGAUAAGGUGGUUUUCAAAUUUAUAAAUUAUUCUUAAUAUACACGCUAUAAAUUUGCUCAAUUUUGUAUUUAUGUUGCUAUUAUACAAUCUAUAAAUAAUAAUACAUAACGCAAAUACGUUUAGCAGAACUUAGGUAACAUUUUUUUUAUUUAAUUUUGUAAUUCCUAUAAUUUUAUUAAACGUAAGUAAAAUACUGUAUUUUUACUUAUUGUAUAAUACAUAUAAAUAUUGUUGUAAAAUGUUACAACGGAAUAUAAUGUUAGUAAAAUUGUAUAAGCCAAUAUUUCCAACACUUCUGGUGCUUAUAUUAAAUAAAUUCAUCUAACUUUGUUUGAAUAUUUGUAGCUAAGUUUUUUAAAUAUACACGUGUUUUGGUAAAAUGUAAUAAAUCGUAUAAUGUCAAUAGUUAUACAGUCGAUCGAUUUGUCCGUUGUAUAAUACGAAAUUAAAUGGUUUUAUUGAAAGUAUUUUACUAAUUAAUGAAGUGAUUUCUAUCAGAAAAAUGUGUAGAAAAUGUGCUCAAUUAUAUGUCAGACAUUUUAAUAGAUGAAAUUUAUGGAUGUGUAAGUUUUACGUUUAAAUGAUUAUUCUUGUACGCUAUGGCCUCGCAGAAUGUAAUCAGUGUAUUUUAAAGGUAAUUUGUAUUUGUAUAAUUUUAAGUGAUUUGUCAGUUUCUUUAUUCUUAAUUUGUAACCUUUAUUAUUUUUAACGUUAUUUAAAUAUUUUCAUAAGAAUUAUCACUGAGAAAAUUUAUUUUUCUUCUUAUUAAAGUACAGGUGUUGUUGGUAUGAGGUAUUUGAUGUAUGUGAGGUAUGAUUAAUGAGGUUUUUUAAGUUCAAAAAAAAAAAAAAAUCAAUGCAAUAUAGAUUUGAUACCAAAAAAUUUGGUAUUGGUACGUCGAAAGGACACAUUGUUACAUAACUAUACCAUUAUACCUUUCACAUAAAAAUAUAUAAUUAAUCAAUAUUUACAAAACCUAUAUAAUAUUACUCAUACCUGUUCAGAUUUUCCUGUAAACUGUAAAACGAUAGUCGAAAGCUAAAGAGCCGCGUGUGACAUAAAAGUGACGUAGAAAUGACGUUGGUCGGUGAUACUCAGCUUUAUCGUAGCUAGAAAAUAUAUUAUAUAUGAACAUGUAUAUUUUAUAUAUAUAUAAUAUUUUUAUUGUAAAAACUGCUCAAGCCGUCACUAAGAAAAUUUCCGUAGGGUUUAUCGACUAAUACUUAAUAUUUGAUAGGUCAUGACGGAAUUGAUAAAUGUUUAAAAUUAUAAUAGUGUUGUCCACUAAGGAGAAUAUUUAGUUUCAAAAUUAUGAUAAAAAAGUCUUUUAUUGAUGUGGACUUCUUUAGUCUAUAGUGAACUAUAUAAUGCCUAUGUAUUUUAUAAAUAUAUUCUUAUAUAUUAUGACUAUUAUUAUGUAAAUUGACUUAUCGCAACUAGUUCGUAUAUAAAGUGAGAAAAACUUGGCUGUAUAUAAGACGUGACUUUGAGACGUAACAGUGAGAUGACGGCUUAAUGUCUAUUGGUAUAUAUUAUGUAUUUAAGAAAUAAUGGUCUAGGGAAAUGUUUUUACGAUUGACAAAUUCUUCUGUAAAUCAAAAAAAUGUUAUAAAAUUAUACAUUUACAUACAUUUUUAUACAUUUGAAAGAAUAUCGAAUCAGUACCUUCUAGGCGUGGGUAGUGUAGAGACCCUUUGUACUCUUUGAGUACUUUAUGCUGUGUCACUAUUUAUCGACUGUGUGACUACAUUUUUUUGACAGUAAAAAUCGCUAAAACAUUUCGUCUAGCCUAGUAAUCAUAAAAAACGUUGAUGUAUUUAAUAGGUAAGUAAAUAAAUGUUCGGCACAAAAUAUAUGUAUGUGUUUAUAUUAAAACUACAUUAGCCCGCGGGUGUACUUUACUCUACAUUGUCGAACUUUAUAUAAAAAAGUGUGCGGUUAACCGCUAUUGUGAGUACUUUCUCGUGUCAUAUGUGUAGUACAUGAUACUAAAGUGUAAUACUGUUGCAUAAUUCUAUGUCAUAUGGACCUGUUUCACCGUUUUUGAUAUAUCAUUCGUUUUAUUACCAUCGAAUUCCGCUAUUUAUUAGAUAUUUAUAUUUUCAAAUAUGAAUAUAAAACUCGUAGCUUAUUAAUUGUGGAAAAGCAGUUUCUAUUAGCCUAUGAAAGCUCCUGUUGUUAGUCUUCGAAACUUAUGAGCAGGAUCAACUUUAUUCUCAAACGAAGAAACCGGGCCAAUCUAUGGGAUACUGUCGUCAUUUGUAAAAAUUUAAACCUUAGAUUUUGUCGUUGAGGAAAAUUUUUUAUUUUUAAAAACUAUAACCUCGUUUAUUGAUGUAUCAGAGGUUUAAACUUAUACAAAUUAAAGGUUGGUGCGCCUUGUAAGGCCUAUUUUUUUUAAAAGUACUUGGAUAAGGAAAAAUUUGGAAAUAAUUUAGAAAAACAAACUAUCAUAAUAUUUGUAAAUACAAUCAACAUACAAAUUGUCAAUUUUAUUAUAAUUUCUUUGAAAAUCUAAUGGCUUUUAAAAAGCUCUAAAGUGGACCUUUUUAGAAACAUUGGUACUUAUCAUGGCCAAAAUUAAUUUAUUCAUAAACGUAAUACAAACAAAAUAUAUGCAUGUACGUAAAGCAUAACCUAUGAGAUUCUUAGGUAAUCAGUCGGUUACAGUAGUUUUUUGUUUGUAAAUUGGACAGUGGACCAACUUAGGUCUUUACUCUUCCUACAAACUCUCUUAAAAAACACUUGUAAUGUUAUUCUUAUGAUAACUUUUAUAGAGAAAUUAGAAAUUAAAUAGAAUUGCAUUAAAAAAUCUUCAUAAUGUCGGUGGGCCUUAUUAAGAGUAUGGAAAAAACGUUGAAAUAGAAACGUCUGUUUUAAUAUUAUGCUUUUAGUUACAUUCUGGGCAUAAAUAUUCUUCUAUACCUUCUAUACCACAAAUACCAAACAAUACAUUGCAUUACACAAUACAUUGUCGCAUAUCUGCAUGAAAGUAGCUACUGUCUCGUUGCGACAAAUAGCUUUUUGUACUGAUUCAAUAGCUGAUUUAAGCUCUUGCACAUUCCGUUCACCGCGAUUUUUCUUUUUGGUUGAUUCCAUUUUGUACAACCUGAUAAAAAAUAAAUGAAACUUGGUAGGUAUCGACUUAUUUUUAAAGUAAGUUUCAGUUGUCUACUUCAAUACUAGUUAGUAACUUUGUCUUACAAAUAGCCACAAAUAUUCCUAUAGUUUCUUAAAUGUUCCAAAGAAACUAUGAUUUUUUAAGAUCUAUAAAUCUUGGGUCAUCUUAGAAGCCCUUGUAGUGGGCCUUAAAAGGACUUUACCAGAUAGUUAAACUGACACUUACCUUCUCAGUAGUGGCCAUAAGUGUAAGUAACUUUGUAUUUAAAAAGAAACACGCAGUUUUUUUUUUUUUCUAAUAAUAUAUAUUUUUUCUAUAAUAUAAAACAAGUUUGUAAACAUGAGGUUUUAAGCCGCCAUUUGCAAUUUCAUUGACAAACUGUUAAUCACUGUGAAGAUGGCGCCUUUGUUCUUUUGAUAUGAAUUUGCAGUUGUCGAUAGUAUUAACCGAGCAUUGGAGCGAUAUUUGAACUAAUUCGAACUCAUAAAAUAUAAAAUAUUGAAAGUGAGGCAUCUUAAAAACAGGGUUAUUUUGGGCGCAAGUACCUCGUGUAGUUUAUAUUUUUAUAAAAGGUCUGUAAGUAAUGAAUGUUUACGACUACUGUGUAACGUAUACUGCGACGUGUAUAUCAAGUUAAAUUAUAUAUAUCACACUGUUCAAUUAUUUACUCAAUAAAUGGAUUUGAUACAAGCGUUCGUUUUAUUUUUUUAUAUAUUGAUUCUGCCUUACUGCUUUUUAUGUAUAGAACCACGCUGACAAAAUUGUAUCUUAACCGUCUCCAAAAAGAGGAGGUUCUCAAUUCGACUACUUUUUUU